AACGCACAUUGCGCCCUCUGGUAUUCCGGGGGGCAUGCCUGUUCGAGCGUCAUUACAACCCUCACGCCUGGCGUGGUAUUGGGCUCGCCCUGUAGGGCCUGCCUCAAAGUCAGUGGCGGCACCGUUUGACCCCUAAGCGUAGUAAUACUCGUCGCUUCUGGUGUCCGGCGGAGGCCUGCCAGCAACCCCCAAAUUUUUUUAAAGGUUGACCUCGAAUCAGGUAGGGAUACCCGCUGAACUUAA
This 243-nucleotide unclassified non-coding RNA is filed under the name Rhytismatales sp. Its description in RNAcentral is "partial contains 5.8S ribosomal RNA, internal transcribed spacer 2, and large subunit ribosomal RNA". The stretch from base 1 to 52 matches the Rfam family "5.8S ribosomal RNA", at positions 103 to 154 of the family's 154-position model. RNAcentral also lists the same sequence under 3 other names. The record is from RNAcentral. Lineage: Eukaryota; Fungi; Ascomycota; Leotiomycetes; Rhytismatales.